This 466-nucleotide ribosomal RNA is filed under the name uncultured bacterium. RNAcentral describes it as "partial 16S ribosomal RNA". It matches the Rfam family "Bacterial small subunit ribosomal RNA", at positions 28 to 506 of the family's 1533-position model. The record is from RNAcentral.
GACGAACGCUGGCGGCGUGCUUAACACAUGCAAGUCGAACGGAAAGGCCUCUUUCGGGGGGUACUCGAGUGGCGAACGGGUGAGUAACACGUGAGUAACCUGCCCUUGACCUUGGGAUAACUUCAGGAAACUGGGGCUAAUACCGGAUAGGAGCUCCUGCUGCAUGGUGGGGGUUGGACAGUUUCGGCGGUUGGGGAUGGACUCGCGGCUUAUCAGCCUGUUGGUGGGGUAGUGGCUUACCAAGGCUUUGACGGGUAGCCGGCCUGAGAGGGUGACCGGCCACAUUGGGACUGGGAUACGGCCCGGACUCCUACGGGAGGCAGGAGUGGGGAAUAUUGCACGAUGGGGGGAAGCCUGAUGCAGCAACGCCGUGUGCGGGAUGACAGCCUUCGGGUUGUAGACCGCUUUCGCUCAUGACGGAGCCUUGUGUGACGGUAGUGAGUAAAGAAGCACCGGCUAACUACGU